GCGGGAGUAACUCAGUUGGUAGAGUGCCUGCCUUCCAAGCAGAAUGUCGCGGGUUCGAGUCCCGUCUCCCGCU
RNAcentral lists this transfer RNA (73 nucleotides) under Thermosporothrix hazakensis. It matches the Rfam family "tRNA". From Rfam's summary of the family: Transfer RNA (tRNA) molecules are approximately 80 nucleotides in length. Lineage: Bacteria; Bacillati; Chloroflexota; Ktedonobacteria; Ktedonobacterales; Thermosporotrichaceae. The record is from Rfam by way of RNAcentral.